This 68-nucleotide transfer RNA is filed under the name Laomedia healyi. RNAcentral describes it as "tRNA-Ile". Lineage: Eukaryota; Metazoa; Arthropoda; Malacostraca; Decapoda; Laomediidae. The record is from RNAcentral.
GAUACAGUGCCCGAUUAAUAAGGAUAGUCUUGAUGCGACUAACUAUGUAGAUUCUUCUACCUGUAUUA